RNAcentral lists this long non-coding RNA (1481 nucleotides) under Bemisia tabaci. Its description in RNAcentral is "lncRNA ENSSSA1NGG013004". Lineage: Eukaryota; Metazoa; Arthropoda; Insecta; Hemiptera; Aleyrodidae. The record is from RNAcentral.
AAUCACUCGCAAAAGUCAACACAAGUCUCUGAUGAUAUUAGUCACUUUGUCAAAGCGGGUAUGGAAUAUUCCAUUGGUCUUAUACCAAUAAGAAAUUCAGUAAUAAACUGGACUAGUCUUGUUCAAUUGGUCACAUUCAACACCAUCAACCUAAUGAGGGGAGUGGCCGAUAUCGAUGGUACUAUAUCAAAACAGUAAUUAUCAUUUGAUGAUCAAUUCUAUCAAUAUCAGGGAACUUUUGUUUUUUGUAGGCUAACCUGAUUUUUUCACGUUUCAGCAAGAACUAUUGGGAAUGCAAAGUGGAGACAAUGAAGAAUCAGAAGAAGAUUCAGAUGAAGAUCUUGACGAAGAGGAUGAUGAUGAAGAUGAGUUUGAUGAUGAGGAUAUAAUGAGCAGUGAAAACAAAAACAAGUUAGAGCGAGAGGCUGUGUCCUCAUUACUGAGCCUGUCAGAGGUGACAAUCCAAGCGGCUGUUCAAAGCAAACACGUUCUCGCUGAUUGUUAAAUCCAUCAAAUCGGCCUUUCACGUACCCUUAUAAUUUCUGUCUGCCACCAAGACCAGUCUCAGAAGCUUGUACACCCACUUUAACAUCCAUCAGCGCUCAUCGGGAGCAUGAAAAAGUUUCGCAAAACACAGGAUUAGCAAGAGAGUUACAGCCCUCCAAUCCAGUAGUUGAUUGUGGGAGGUCGGAUGAUGUAGGACUUGCUGCUGGCAAUAAACAUCGCACUACUAUUUCCCAUCCAUCCGAGAUACUGCUGAUCUAUCUUUGGAAGAAGAUUCUAGUCAAGAUGAAGAGAUGGCUGUCACAACUAUUAGUGGCCCUAUUGAUCUCAGUAGAAGUAAAAGUAAUAAUAACAAUAACCUAAGAAAAUUAUCCACGAGUAGUCUCCCAUCACGACUGAGCAUUUCAACGCAUUCCCCUCUUCCAGCAGAUAUCCUAACUACAGUCUCAGAACCAGCUUUACUUCUAGCCACCUUAUGCUCAUCAAUGGAGCGAUUACCUGUAACAAACACUGUAGACCCUGCUGAGGAGGCAGCCAUGUUACAAGUUUAUCUGAAAGAAAAAGCUAUGCAAGAUCUCAGAAUGAAACAAAUGCAAUACCAAACAGCUCUCAACAGCAAAAUUUCAAACAAAGGGAAGCUCUACGCUCCAACUUUAGAAAAAGAUAGUAAACUCGAGUCUCAGACUGGAUUCAAUAUUGAAUUAACCAGUUCUAGGGAAGAGAAAAAGAGUGCAAUAUUAGACUCAAUACUUAAGUCUGACUCAUUAAUGGAGAAUAAUGGAAAAUUCAUGAAUGAGCCGCGUAACUUGCAACAAAAAAUUUUCGAAAGUGUUUCCUCUGUCUAUGAGAAAGCUCUUGAUUCUGUGAAAACAGUUAAUUCAGUGGCCAAAGAGAAUGCGCUAGAUAUUUUGGCUCACACAACUUCAGAGGCUAAAAGUCCUCAGAAAUGCCUAGCGUUUCAUCCCCUAGCAAAUUAA